This 963-nucleotide ribosomal RNA is filed under the name Triticum aestivum (bread wheat). RNAcentral describes it as "partial small subunit ribosomal RNA". The record is from RNAcentral. Lineage: Eukaryota; Viridiplantae; Streptophyta; Magnoliopsida; Poales; Poaceae.
AUGGCAUCAACCAUGCCGUUCUCCGCUGGCCUCGUUUCUCUUGGGUCUCCGCCGCCGCAGCGCCACAGCUGCAGGUUCCAGCGAUAUCAUCGACCGGGCACUCUCAUUUCAUCAGCUAUAAGGCAUGGUCAGGUUAAAGCUAUGGCUGGAGUGAGCAUGGAUGGCUUGGCACAGCCUCAAGCCCCAGUUGCAGUGGUUACCGGAGCAUCGAGGGGGAUUGGGCGAGCGAUAGCUGUGGCUCUUGGCAAAGCAGGGUGCAAGGUAGUUGUGAACUAUGCCAAGUCAGGCAUGGAAGCUGAAGAAGUGUGCAGAGAGAUCAUGGAGUCCGGUGGCACUGCCAUCUCCUUUUCAGCCGAUGUCUCCAUUGAAGCCGAGGUUGAAACCAUGAUGAGAGCGGUAAUUGAUACUUGGGGAACGCUGGACGUGAUGGUGAACAAUGCAGGGAUCACGCGAGAUGCUCUGCUAAUGCGGAUGAAGAAGGCGCAGUGGCAGGAAGUAGUGGACGUAAACCUUACCGGUGUUUACCUCUGCGCCCAGGUGAGAUGUGCUGUUCACUUGGCCUCCGUAAUGGGCAUCAAAUAUGCUUUAAAAAUCUUGUUUCAGGCUGCGGCGGCAGUGAUGAUGAAGAGGAAGAAGGGAAGAAUCAUCAACAUCGCCUCAGUUGCCGGGAUGAUCGGCAACAUUGGCCAGGCCAACUACUGCGCCGCCAAGGCCGGGGUGAUUGGAUUGACCAAGGCCAUGGCCCGGGAAUACGGUGGCAGAAACAUAAAUGUGAAUGCAGUUUCCCCGGGCUGGGUCGCGUCUGACAUGACCGCAAAACUAGGCGACGACAUCGAACGAAAGGCGCUCGAGACAAUACCACUAGAGGAGAUUGCUGGACUGGUGGAGUUCUUGGCUGUUCAUCCGGCUGCAAGCUACAUGACCGGGCAGGUGCUCCCAGUUGAUGGUGGCCUGUCCAUUUGA